Molecule: ribosomal RNA, 468 nt
Filed under: uncultured bacterium
Lineage: Bacteria
Description: partial 16S ribosomal RNA
Rfam family: Bacterial small subunit ribosomal RNA
Source: RNAcentral
GACGAACGCUGGCGGCGUGCUUAACACAUGCAAGUCGAACGGAAAUGCCCUGCUUUUGUGGGGUGCUCGAGUUGCGAACGGGUGAGUAACACGUGAGUAACCUGCCCUUGACUUUGGGAUAACUUCAGGAAACUGGGGCUAAUACCGGAUAGGAGCUCCUGCUGCAUGGUGGGGGUUGGAAAGUUUCGGCGGUUGGGGAUGGACUCGCGGCUUAUCAGCUUGUUGGUGGGGUAGUGGCUUACCAAGGCUUUGACGGGUAGCCGGCCUGAGAGGGUGACCGGCCACAUUGGGACUGAGAUACGGCCCAGACUCCUACGGGAGGCAGCAGUGGGGAAUAUUGCAAAAUGGGCGGAAGCCUGAUGCAGCAACGCCGCGUGCGGGAUGAAGGCCUUCGGGUUGUAAACCGCUUUCGCCUGUGACGAAGCGUGAGUGACGGUAAUGGGUAAAGAAGCACCGGCUAACUACGUG